Brassica oleracea var. oleracea is the source of this 1034-nucleotide long non-coding RNA. RefSeq lists it as uncharacterized. The record is from RefSeq and is a predicted model, not a curated record. Lineage: Eukaryota; Viridiplantae; Streptophyta; Magnoliopsida; Brassicales; Brassicaceae. The transcript has 2 exons.
UCAUGUUCUUCUCUACGUCUCUAUGUCGAUGAAGUGUAGUCUAGGAUCAAAUUUCAAUCUGAAACAAAGAAACAAAAAAUCUAAGCUUGCGUACAUCUCUCUCAUGUUCGGAUGGCGGAUUUUCUAAACCAAAGUCGGUACCGGUUCAUAAUCUUUGGGCUCUAUCUUAUUCUUCUCCAUCUAUACCUUCAUCCUCCACAAGAACUACCACGAGAAGAAUAUUAUAAGCCGACCUGGAACCAUAGCUAAAGAUAAGGGAAACGAGACAAUGGCAAAGAAACUUGAUGUAUCUCCGCUUCCGGCACAAUCUCUGUCUCCGCCGCAGCUGAAGCUAGACGAUGUAAAUUUGGAGAGAUUGUAACUAAGUCGACGGCCGCUCUUUCCGAGGAGGAAUAAAUACUCUGAGGCAAUCAGCAUUCACCCCCACAAGACACAAUCCAGGGAAGAUAACCUACAUAGCAUACAGUCUAGCUCAGUGAGAGGCUAAGAACAUAACUUUCUUAUUGAAGUUUGUGUGAUGCAAUUCGUCGAACACCUGGUAACUUAAACCGAUAUGUUAUGUUUCUGCAAGGUCUUCAUUUUCUUUCGAGAUGGCCUGUACCUCGGCCUCGCAAUUCCUCUCGGCUCCACCGCUCCACCGCUCCACCACACCGUUUCCCUUCUUCGAACCGCCACAAGCCUUCUUCGGCCGCAGAUUCCAAGUCCUCUUUUCCUCUCUCCGCGGCGGCGGUUCUCUUCGGUAUCAUCGGGUUUCAGUGAUUGUGCUUGGAUGACGGCGCGAAUUUAUUAAAUUUUUUGUAACUUAAUAAUUGAAUUUUUACUUAGUAACACUAGUUUUGUUUUGAAAAGUGUACGUAUUUCAAAUUAAGUAACACGAUCAGGAUAACAAACAGUCUUAAUUAACACAUAAGGUCUGAAGAGAGAGAGAGAGGGGGAUAUAGUUUAAAACCUUAUUUGAACCUCAGAGAAACAGAAAAAGUCUAAGAGCAGCAUUAAUCCAGAUGCUUAUUGGGUUGCUUAAUGAUUUUUAGAUU